RNAcentral lists this ribosomal RNA (3252 nucleotides) under Clostridioides difficile. RNAcentral describes it as "bacterial SSU rRNA". The stretch from base 1 to 1320 matches the Rfam family "Bacterial small subunit ribosomal RNA". Lineage: Bacteria; Bacillati; Bacillota; Clostridia; Peptostreptococcales; Peptostreptococcaceae. The record is from RNAcentral.
AGAGUUUGAUCCUGGCUCAGGAUGAACGCUGGCGGCGUGCCUAACACAUGCAAGUUGAGCGAUUUACUUCGGUAAAGAGCGGCGGACGGGUGAGUAACGCGUGGGUAACCUACCCUGUACACACGGAUAACAUACCGAAAGGUAUGCUAAUACGGGAUAAUAUAUUUGAGAGGCAUCUCUUAAAUAUCAAAGGUGAGCCAGUACAGGAUGGACCCGCGUCUGAUUAGCUAGUUGGUAAGGUAACGGCUUACCAAGGCGACGAUCAGUAGCCGACCUGAGAGGGUGAUCGGCCACAUUGGAACUGAGACACGGUCCAAACUCCUACGGGAGGCAGCAGUGGGGAAUAUUGCACAAUGGGCGAAAGCCUGAUGCAGCAACGCCGCGUGAGUGAUGAAGGCCUUCGGGUCGUAAAACUCUGUCCUCAAGGAAGAUAAUGACGGUACUUGAGGAGGAAGCCCCGGCUAACUACGUGCCAGCAGCCGCGGUAAUACGUAGGGGGCUAGCGUUAUCCGGAUUUACUGGGCGUAAAGGGUGCGUAGGCGGUCUUUCAAGUCAGGAGUGAAAGGCUACGGCUCAACCGUAGUAAGCUCUUGAAACUGGGAGACUUGAGUGCAGGAGAGGAGAGUGGAAUUCCUAGUGUAGCGGUGAAAUGCGUAGAUAUUAGGAGGAACACCAGUUGCGAAGGCGGCUCUCUGGACUGUAACUGACGCUGAGGCACGAAAGCGUGGGGAGCAAACAGGAUUAGAUACCCUGGUAGUCCACGCUGUAAACGAUGAGUACUAGGUGUCGGGGGUUACCCCCUUCGGUGCCGCAGCUAACGCAUUAAGUACUCCGCCUGGGAAGUACGCUCGCAAGAGUGAAACUCAAAGGAAUUGACGGGGACCCGCACAAGUAGCGGAGCAUGUGGUUUAAUUCGAAGCAACGCGAAGAACCUUACCUAAGCUUGACAUCCCAAUGACAUCUCCUUAAUCGGAGAGUUCCCUUCGGGGACAUUGGUGACAGGUGGUGCAUGGUUGUCGUCAGCUCGUGUCGUGAGAUGUUGGGUUAAGUCCCGCAACGAGCGCAACCCUUGUCUUUAGUUGCCAUCAUUAAGNUUUUUUGUAAAAUAGUAACUUUUUGAGAUAAUUUUUCUUUAUUUUAUGUUAUAAUUGGUAAAAUAUGUUAUUAUAUGUGUUUUCUACUAAAAUAAAGUAAUUUUUCCAUAACAAAAUGACUGCCAAAAAGGCAGUCAUUCUAGACUUUUCUUAGGUAUACAAUACACCUAGGACUCUUUUUGGCAACUGGCUGACAUAGUUCAUGUAUACAAACCUUAGUCCCUAUAGCUUUGCGUCACUAGAUUUCUCUAGAUUUGCCUAUUUAGUUUUAACUUAAGUAUACAAUAAAUAACAAAUUUUUUAAAUAUUUUUUUAAGUAUUUUUUCUAUAUAAUUUUUUAAUUUAAUUUUUAAUAUUAAUUUUUAUAAUAUUUUUAAUAUAUUUAUAUUUAUAACAUUUAAUUUAUAUAAUGUACAUAUAUAUUAAAAAUAUACAAAAAUUUACAAUAUAAAAUAAAUUUAUUCUAAGUUUGUCUUUUACAAUAAUUUCAUUAAGACCAUAUAUUCUAACAUUACUUUCCAAUUAUAUGCUUAGGAGUACAUAUCUAUUUAAAGUUUUCCCUUUUAUUUUCACUUUUAGGGAUAAAAAAUUUGUAAUUUUCUCUACUUUUGAUAAAUUUUAUUUUAGACUGGUUAUAUAGGAAUACAGUCUAAAAUGUUGUAUAGAGUAACAAAAUAAAUUUAAAAAAGGUCAAACUUUAAUUAAUUUGCCCUUUAUUAUCUUAUAUUUAUUAAAAUUGAUAAUUUUUUAACUCCUUCUUAAGCCUAAAUUUAUCUAAUUAUCAAUUAAUUUUAACUAAAUAUGGUUAUUCAAAACGUAUUCUAAUACAUUAGUAUGUAUUUUUUCACCACAACUUCCAUCUGUAUUUGAUAGUACACUAUUUAAAGAAUUUAAUCUUUGAUUUAGCUUAUAAUCAUUAUUAUUUUUUACUAAGUUCAUAAAUUUUAUUAAAUCCAUAUCUUCUUCUCCUACUAUAUAAUUUGAAAAUAUAUCGAAUAUUCUUGAAUCAUAAUAUCCACGUUCCAUAUCUAUAUCAUAAAUUAAUAUAGGUUUCUUCGUUUGAAUAUAUUCUAUUAAUACAGAAGACCUAUCCGUUAUUAAAGCAUGGGAUAAGUUGAAUGAUUCAUAGUAAGAUACAGAGUCAUCUAAAAUAAUAUUAUUUUUUAUAGAUAUUGAAUCUAGCAAAGUUUUGUAUCUAUUAAAACAUUCUGGAACUUUAGAUUUUACAUACUCAAGUUCUAAUGGAUGUGGUCUAUAUAUAAGACCAUACUCUUGACUAUUUUCAAUAAUAUCAAAUACAUUUUCAAUCUCAUCAAUGACACCAUCUUUUCCAUUAGGUAUUUUCAUUAGAUUAGUUGUCCAUAAGAAAAUUAUUUUACCCUUUAAUUUAGAUUCAUAAUCUUUAUUUAUAUUAUUCUGUUUUAAAUUGUAAAUUAAAGAAUCAAAUUUUGGAGAUCCCAUUGUUAGUAUUUGAUUUUUAUUUAUACCACUACAUUCUGCUAUAAUUUCAAAUGCAGGAGAUUGCACAAUAACCUUAUCAAAAUUUCUAGAUGCUAUCAGUUCAUAAAAAUUUAAGUAAAAACUAACAGGAUAAGUUCCAAGUAUUCCAUAAGCAACAUAUACAAGCAUAUUAGUAUAUUGUUUCAAGUUAUAAGAAAAAUAAUUACUAUCUACCAUUGUAGCAUUGUUACAAUCAUCAUAUUGAUUAUGAACAUAUAUUAUAUCAGGCUUCUCCUUAGAUAAAUCAAAAUCAUCAUAAUGUAUUAUUGGAACAUAUUCAGGAAAAUCAUUACCUUCAUAUGUAUAUAUUUGAGUUAUACCAUUAGGCGUAUCAAUUAACUUGUAAUAAGGUAUGGGAACUACAUAGCAGUCACACUGCUCAUCCAAAACCGCAGAUUUCCAGAUACUUUCUAAGCUAUUCCACAUUUUAGCAUUAUAAGGCAUAAAUACAAUUUUAGUUUUUUUAUUUAGACUAUUUUCUAUUAUAUUUGAUAAAUAGUUUAAAUUACUUAUGAUAAAUUCACAAUCUUCAACAAGUCUUAUAUUUUUAUACAUGGAAAGUCUUAAAAUUUUUACAUAAGUUUCAUCAAUUAAAUUCAACAGGUUUUUGUUGCUUCUUCCAGAGUUAUUUAUAUAUUUUUUCAUAUAAUUAAUAGCU